RNAcentral lists this long non-coding RNA (635 nucleotides) under Anser brachyrhynchus (Pink-footed goose). Its description in RNAcentral is "lncRNA (ENSABRG00000007552.1)". Lineage: Eukaryota; Metazoa; Chordata; Aves; Anseriformes; Anatidae. The record is from RNAcentral.
UGACAAUGUUCUGUUUGGGGGGAGGCCAGAGAGGCUGAAUGGAUGUUGUUGUGAUGGAGAUGUGAAAGAGGGCUAGUAUCUCCACAGCUGUCUUGAAUUUCUCUGAAGGGACAGUAGCCAAAGUGACCAUAAAGAUAUUAAUUUAUAACCUCUCAGAACUGACUGGCUGUUUAAACACUACAUAUGUUUGCAUUGGUUGGGUCUAGGGUCAGAGCAUUUAUUUUGUACUUUCCUCUCUCCCUCUGAAAUGUAAAUACAUUUCUUCACGUGAUGAGUGAUUUACUUCAAUCCACAAAGUUUACUGCACAUGUAUUUUCACCUUUGAUUAAUCUGUCACAGAUUGGAUGUGUCAUAAAAUAGCUAAAUCCCAGCUGGGUGGUCCCAGCAUGGAGCAUUUACGCAGUUCUUCAGAAACAGAUGCAGCUCUUAGCAGAGACUACAAUGAAGGAGACUACAGGGUAGCAAGCAAGGCACAACAGUCUCCUUUCUGCCUCACCCAGUCUUUCCUCAGUGCUUCCUGGCAGCUCUUCUUGCUUUGUGACUCGAGUAUGAAGAGCACCUCCUUACUCCAGGCUGAGGACCAUGGAGUCUUACAAACUGCCUGUUCACCAACUGUUAUGAAGAGGGACAUUUGA